RNAcentral lists this ribosomal RNA (442 nucleotides) under uncultured bacterium. RNAcentral describes it as "bacterial SSU rRNA". It matches the Rfam family "Bacterial small subunit ribosomal RNA", at positions 338 to 795 of the family's 1533-position model. The record is from RNAcentral.
CCUANGGGAGGCAGCAGUGGGGGAUAUUGCACAAUGGGGGAAACCCUGAUGCAGCAACGCCGCGUGAAGGAAGAAGGCUUUCGGGUUGUAAACUUCUGUCUUUUGGGACGAAUAAAUGACGGUACCAGAGGAGGAAGCCACGGCUAACUACGUGCCAGCAGCCGCGGUAAUACGUAGGUGGCGAGCGUUGUCCGGAUUUACUGGGUGUAAAGGGCGUGUAGGCGGGUUAUUAAGUCAGAUGUGAAAUACCGAGGCUCAACCUCGGGGCUGCAUUUGAAACUGAUAAUCUUGAGUGCUGGAGAGGAAAGCGGAAUUCCUAGUGUAGCGGUGAAAUGCGUAGAUAUUAGGAGGAACACCAGUGGCGAAGGCGGCUUUCUGGACAGUAACUGACGCUGAGGCGCGAAAGCGUGGGGAGCAAACAGGAUUAGAUACCCGGNUANUC